CUUGGUCAUUUAGAGGAAGUAAAAGUCGUAACAAGGUUUCCGUAGGUGAACCUGCGGAAGGAUCAUUACAUUCAGUAGCCUAGCUACUUGUUUAUACCCUUGUUUUUUGCGUACCUAUUGUUUCCUCGGUGGGCUUGCCUGCCGGUUGGACAACACUAUAACCUUUUUAAAUCUUCAAUCAGCGUCUGAAUUAUACAUAAUAAUUACAACUUUCAACAACGGAUCUCUUGGUUCUGGCAUCGAUGAAGAACGCAGCGAAAUGCGAUAAGUAGUGUGAAUUGCAGAAUUCAGUGAAUCAUCGAAUCUUUGAACGCACAUUGCGCCCGCCAGUAUUCUGGCGGGCAUGCCUGUUCGAGCGUCAUUUCAACCAUCAAGCCCCAGGCUUGUGUUGGGGCCCUGCGGAGACGCAGACCCCUAAAAGCAGUGGCGGGCUCGCUGUCAUCCCGAGCGCAGUAUUGUACCUUCGCUUUGGGCGUGGCGGCGGGUUCCGGCCGUGAAACCACCUAUUUUUCAAGGUUGACCUCGGAUCAGGUAGGGUUACCCGCUGAACUUAAGCAUAUCAAUAAGCGGAGGA
Molecule: ribosomal RNA, 574 nt
Filed under: uncultured fungus
Lineage: Eukaryota; Fungi
Description: eukaryotic LSU rRNA
Rfam family: 5.8S ribosomal RNA (bases 208-361)
Source: RNAcentral